UACGUAGGGUGCAAGCGUUGUCCGGAAUUAUUGGGCGUAAAGAGCGUGUAGGCGGCCAUGCAGGUCCGUUGUGAAAACUCGAGGCUCAACCUCGAGACGCCGAUGGAAACCGCAUGGCUAGAGUCCGGAAGAGGAGAGUGGAAUUCCUGGUGUAGCGGUGAAAUGCGCAGAUAUCAGGAGGAACACCCGUGGCUAAGGCGGCUCUCUAGUACGGUACUGACGCUGAGACGCGAAAGCGUGGGGAGCAAACAGG
RNAcentral lists this ribosomal RNA (253 nucleotides) under uncultured bacterium. Its description in RNAcentral is "partial 16S ribosomal RNA". It matches the Rfam family "Bacterial small subunit ribosomal RNA", at positions 524 to 776 of the family's 1533-position model. The record is from RNAcentral.